UAGAAGCUUGCUUCUAUGACGUUAGCGGCGGACGGGUGAGUAACACGUGGGCAACCUGCCUGUAAGACUGGGAUAACUUCGGGAAACCGAAGCUAAUACCGGAUAGGAUCUUCUCCUUCAUGGGAGAUGAUUGAAAGAUGGUUUCGGCUAUCACUUACAGAUGGGCCCGCGGUGCAUUAGCUAGUUGGUGAGGUAACGGCUCACCAAGGCAACGAUGCAUAGCCGACCUGAGAGGGUGAUCGGCCACACUGGGACUGAGACACGGCCCAGACUCCUACGGGAGGCAGCAGUAGGGAAUCUUCCGCAAUGGACGAAAGUCUGACGGAGCAACGCCGCGUGAGUGAUGAAGGCUUUCGGGUCGUAAAACUCUGUUGUUAGGGAAGAACAAGUACGAGAGUAACUGCUCGUACCUUGACGGUACCUAACCAGAAAGCCACGGCUAACUACGUGCCAGCAGCCGCGGUAAUACGUAGGUGGCAAGCGUUAUCCGGAAUUAUUGGGCGUAAAAGCGCGCGCAGGCGCUUUCUUAAGUCUGAUGUGAAAGCCCACGGCUCAACCGUGGAGGGUCAUUGGAAACUGGGGAACUUGAGUGCGAAGAGAAAAGCGAAAUUCCACGAGUAUGGGUAAGAUACGU
This 634-nucleotide ribosomal RNA is filed under the name bacterium. Its description in RNAcentral is "bacterial SSU rRNA". It matches the Rfam family "Bacterial small subunit ribosomal RNA", at positions 73 to 691 of the family's 1533-position model. The record is from RNAcentral.